AGAACAAUGGCUGGAAAACAAAAGGGUAUCAGCGUGUCGACUAAACACGUGGAGGACCAAUUAGGAUGGCAAGGUGUUUUUUUACGCACCGUCGAGGGAGGGAGGCAUGAGAAGUAUUGGGGUAGCUACUCCUCUUCUUCUUCCUCCUCCUGGUGAUGGCAGUGUAGACCACCUUUUUCGGCAAAGAGAGACUGAUGGUUGAGAAGUACGGUAUGUCUUUAAUAAUUUUUUGGACCAUUUUUUUUCUUGUUGAUAUUUGCUUUUGCUAGCUAGGUUUUUCUUUGCAAGAAUUUCUUCCCUCAAUUCCUGUUAUUGUCUCAUAUUCAUCUGAGUGUGCUAUUUAUAUUGUCAAGGCAACCAUAAAAACAUGUCACCGCUACUGACGGUACAUGGAUUCACGUGCCGCAUCCGGUGAAGCAAAAAAAUGAUGAAUUUGGAACAAUUUAUUUCCCUCUUUCUCCCGGUGUUGGUGGUGAGCUUAAUCUUUACCUGCUAAACAAAGAAAAACCACGCAAGCAGUCAGUUUUAAUUUUCUUCUUCUCCUGCCACUAGAUUGGAGGUUGCUUGAGGGUAGACUAGAGCUAGGUUUUGGUCGGUGGUCACAAUUUGGUCUUAACAGUGAGAAAGGGGAAGAGCCUGUUUAGGUCACGGUGUGUAGUGGUUUCAGUCACUGGAUCUCCAGUGAGGACAUGUUGCACAGGACACCUCUACGGCUAGUGGUGAAGGAAUCGACUGCUAGGUCUGUGGGUGUUGUUUAUUUGUUGCUGUUGGGAGUCGGCUGAAAAAAAAAAUUGUGUUAGGUAAUAUGGUAAUGAUUGUUUUUUAAAUAAUUUUUCAUACCGAAAUAUAUAUCAAUGAUGUUUUUUCAUUUUUA
RNAcentral lists this long non-coding RNA (874 nucleotides) under Populus tremula. RNAcentral's name for it is "long non-coding RNA (PTRE_LNC001994)". Lineage: Eukaryota; Viridiplantae; Streptophyta; Magnoliopsida; Malpighiales; Salicaceae. The record is from RNAcentral.